This 70-nucleotide transfer RNA is filed under the name Dipodomys ordii (Ord's kangaroo rat). It matches the Rfam family "tRNA". From Rfam's summary of the family: Transfer RNA (tRNA) molecules are approximately 80 nucleotides in length. Their secondary structure includes four short double-helical elements and three loops (D, anti-codon, and T loops). The record is from Rfam by way of RNAcentral. Lineage: Eukaryota; Metazoa; Chordata; Mammalia; Rodentia; Heteromyidae.
GGGAAUGUGGCUUAGUGGUAGAGUGCUUGCCUAGCAUGCAUGAAGCCCUGGGUUCCACUCUUCAAUACCA